This 520-nucleotide ribosomal RNA is filed under the name uncultured Glomus. RNAcentral describes it as "SSU rRNA". It matches the Rfam family "Eukaryotic small subunit ribosomal RNA", at positions 569 to 1091 of the family's 1831-position model. Lineage: Eukaryota; Fungi; Glomeromycota; Glomeromycetes; Glomerales; Glomeraceae. The record is from RNAcentral.
AGCAGCCGCGGUAAUUCCAGCUCCAAUAGCGUAUAUUAAAGUUGUUGCAGUUAAAAAGCUCGUAGUUGAAUUUCGGGGUCAAUACGUCGGUCGUGCCUCGGUACGCACUAACGUUAUUGAUCCCUCCCUUCUGACGAACCGUGAUGUCAUUAAUUUGGUGUUGCGGGGAAUCAGGACUGUUACCUUGAAAAAAUUAGAGUGUUUAAAGCAGGCAAUCGCUCGAAUACAUUAGCAUGGAAUAAUGAAAUAGGACGUUCGAACCUAUUUUGUUGGUUUCUAGGAUCGACGUAAUGAUUAAUAGGGAUAGUUGGGGGCAUUAGUAUUCAAUUGUCAGAGGUGAAAUUCUUGGAUUUAUUGAAGACUAACUACUGCGAAAGCAUUUGCCAAGGAUGUUUUCAUUAAUCAAGAACGAAAGUUAGGGGAUCGAAGACGAUCAGAUACCGUCGUAGUCUUAACCAUAAACUAUGCCGACUAGGGAUCGGAUGAUGUUAAUUUUUUAAUGACUCAUUCGGCGCCUUAC